RNAcentral lists this ribosomal RNA (255 nucleotides) under uncultured bacterium. RNAcentral's name for it is "partial 16S ribosomal RNA". It matches the Rfam family "Bacterial small subunit ribosomal RNA", at positions 524 to 776 of the family's 1533-position model. The record is from RNAcentral.
UACAGAGGGGGCAAGCGUUGUUCGGAAUUACUGGGCGUAAAGGGCGCGUAGGCGGCCUGUUAAGUCGAACGUGAAAUCCCCGGGCUCAACCCGGGAACUGCGUCCGAUACUGGCAGGCUUGAAUCCGGGAGAGGGAUGCGGAAUUCCAGGUGUAGCGGUGAAAUGCGUAGAUAUCUGGAGGAACACCGGUGGCGAAGGCGGCAUCCUGGACCGGCAUUGACGCGUGAGGCGCGGAAAGCCAGGGGAGCAAACGGG